AUGGAACAUGAACUGGUGAAUGGGCAUGUGGGGGAGGAUGUCAGUGCUCAACAGAUUAGGGAGGCUUGUCCUGCUGACGAAGGAAAUAAUGGAGAUGGUUUACAUGCUUCUCUGCUUUCUCAGGCGGCAACUGCGGAAGGAUAUGAUACAAACGCACCCUUUACAUGUGAAGGGAUUUCUUCAUAUUUAAGAAGGCAUGGCACAACAGGACUUGUGCAAGAUUUUAUGGCUUCAUUAGAUGAUCAUGAGAUUGAAGAAGAAGAAAUCCAUGAAGCAGCAUUGUUAUCACAUCAGCCUGCACUUCAUGAUGUGGAAAGCACAAGGAGACAUCUAUCCAGCCAACAAAUUGUCCAGCUAUCUGAAACGGCUAAUAUAAGGCCUAAGUGGAGGGUAAUUCAAGCACUUCAGGAUGUACAGUUCUCUCUGUCACCCACACGUGUCUAUGUACAUAGUUUGAACAGGAAGCUUAGCUCACAGUCCUGCAGUAUCAACUGA
RNAcentral lists this ribosomal RNA (495 nucleotides) under Triticum aestivum (bread wheat). RNAcentral describes it as "partial small subunit ribosomal RNA". The record is from RNAcentral. Lineage: Eukaryota; Viridiplantae; Streptophyta; Magnoliopsida; Poales; Poaceae.